This 65-nucleotide transfer RNA is filed under the name Asychis amphiglyptus. RNAcentral's name for it is "tRNA-Ala". It matches the Rfam family "tRNA". Rfam says of the family: Transfer RNA (tRNA) molecules are approximately 80 nucleotides in length. Their secondary structure includes four short double-helical elements and three loops (D, anti-codon, and T loops). The record is from RNAcentral. Lineage: Eukaryota; Metazoa; Annelida; Polychaeta; Maldanidae.
GUCAAUUUAGUUUAAUUAAAACACUUGCCUUGCAAGCAAGAAAUAGGGUAUAAACCCUAAUAGCC